This 26-nucleotide unclassified non-coding RNA is filed under the name Mus musculus (house mouse). Its description in RNAcentral is "oocyte_clustered_small_RNA1319". The record is from RNAcentral. Lineage: Eukaryota; Metazoa; Chordata; Mammalia; Rodentia; Muridae.
UAGGCGGGGUCCCGGAACUAAGAUGU